Molecule: ribosomal RNA, 490 nt
Filed under: uncultured bacterium
Lineage: Bacteria
Description: partial 16S ribosomal RNA
Rfam family: Bacterial small subunit ribosomal RNA
Source: RNAcentral
AUUGAACGCUGGCGGCAGGCCUAACACAUGCAAGUCGAACGGUAACAGGGAUCAGCUUGCUGAUUCGCUGACGAGUGGCGGACGGGUGAGUAAUGUCUGGGAAACUGCCUGAUGGAGGGGGAUAACUACUGGAAACGGUAGCUAAUACCGCAUAACGUCGCAAGCCCAAAGAGGGGGACCUUCGGGCCUCUUGCCAUCGGAUGUGCCCAGAUGGGAUUAGCUAGUAGGUGGGGUAACGGCUCACCUAGGCGACGAUCCCUAGCUGGUCGGAGAGGAUGACCAGCCACACUGGAACUGAGACACGGUCCAGACUCCUACGGGAGGCAGCAGUGGGGAAUAUUGCACAAUGGGCGCAAGCCUGAUGCAGCCAUGCCGCGUGUAUGAAGAAGGCCUUCGGGUUGUAAAGUACUUUCAGCGGGGAGGAAGGGAGUAAAGUUAAUACCUUUGCUCAUUGACGUUACCCGCAGAAGAAGCACCGGCUAACUCCGUG